CAUCACUACGCUAGAUGCAUAUCAAUAAGCGGAGGAAAAGAAACCUAACAAGGAUUCCCCUAGUAACGGCGAGUGAAGCGGGAAGAGCUCAAAUUUGAAAUCUUAAAGGGUUUCCCUUUACGAAUUGUAGUUUAAAGAAGUGUUUUCUGUUGGAGUUUCGGUAAAAGUUCUUUGGAAUAGGACAUCAUAGAGGGUGAGGAUCCCGUAUUUGACUCAGUUACUUUCCAGCUGUGUGAUACACUUUCAAAGAGUCGGAUUGUUUGGGAAUGCAGUCCAAAAUGGGUGGUAAAUUUCAUCUAAAGCUAAAUAUUGGCGAGAGACCGAUAGCGAACAAGUACCGUGAGGGAAAGAUGAAAAGAACUUUGAAAAGAGAGUUAAACAGUACGUGAAAUUGUCAAAAGGGGAAGCGUUUGACACCAGUGUUGUUUAGUUGAAAAUCAAUUCAAUAAUUUUUGAUUUUAAGUAGUAUUGACUUCAUCAGCUUGCUGCUUUCUUUUCAGGAAUUAUUGAAUGCACUUUUCAGUUAACAAGUCAACAUCAAUUUCUUUUGUUGUAAAAGGGUAAGAGGAAGGUGGCUUACGCUUCGGCGUAAGUGUUUAUAGCCUUUUACCUCUGCAAUCGGAGAGAUUGAGGACAGCAGCGUAGACUCCUUCGGGGUUAGAUACACUUGUGCUAAGCUAUAGCCUUGUAUAGACAACUUGUUGACUAUGCUCAGUCAUGUAGCUUACUCGCUUGUGCUAUUUUACCUACGCUUAGGAUGUUGAAGAUAUGCGCGACACG
RNAcentral lists this ribosomal RNA (780 nucleotides) under uncultured Neocallimastigales. Its description in RNAcentral is "partial large subunit ribosomal RNA". It matches the Rfam family "Eukaryotic large subunit ribosomal RNA", at positions 20 to 644 of the family's 3401-position model. Lineage: Eukaryota; Fungi; Neocallimastigomycota; Neocallimastigomycetes; Neocallimastigales. The record is from RNAcentral.